GGGGGUAUAGCUCAGCUGGUAGAGCGAUUCGUUCGCAACGAAUAGGUCAGCGGUUCGAAUCCGCUUACCUCCA
This is a non-coding RNA of Candidatus Desantisbacteria bacterium CG1_02_49_89, 73 nucleotides long. NCBI's taxonomy places the organism in Bacteria, Candidatus Desantisiibacteriota. The record is from Rfam.